AACUAACGCUAGCGGCGUGCCUAACACAUGCAAGUCGUACGAGAAAGUCGGCUUCGGUCGGCGAGUAAAGUGGCGCACGGGUGAGUAACGCGUGGAUAAUCUACCCUUGAGUUGGGAAUAACGUGCCGAAAGGUGCGCUAAUACCGAAUAAUACUGAGUGACUAAUGUUGCUUAGUCAAAGAAGGCCUCUGCUUGCAAGCUUUCGCUGAAGGAUGAGUCCGCGUACCAUUAGCUAGUUGGUAGGGUAAUGGCCUACCAAGGCAACGAUGGUUAGCUGGUCUGAGAGGAUGAUCAGCCACACUGGAACUGAGACACGGUCCAGACUCCUACGGGAGGCAGCAGUGAGGAAUAUUGGUCAAUGGACGAGAGUCUGAACCAGCCAAGUCGCGUGAAGGAAGAAGGUCUUAUGGAUUGUAAACUUCUUUAGCAGGGGAAUAAAGGUUAUUACGAGCUAAUAAUUUGCAGGUACUCUGCGAAAAAGGAUCGGCUAACUCCGU
This 497-nucleotide ribosomal RNA is filed under the name uncultured bacterium. Its description in RNAcentral is "bacterial SSU rRNA". It matches the Rfam family "Bacterial small subunit ribosomal RNA", at positions 29 to 506 of the family's 1533-position model. The record is from RNAcentral.